RNAcentral lists this transfer RNA (78 nucleotides) under Candidatus Latescibacteria bacterium ADurb.Bin168. RNAcentral describes it as "tRNA-Arg". The record is from RNAcentral. Lineage: Bacteria; Pseudomonadati; Candidatus Latescibacterota.
CGCGGCUGGAUCACGUGGUAGCGGGCGUGGGGGGAUUCGAACCCCCGAUCUUCUGGUUCGAAGCCAGAUGCCCUGUCC